This 453-nucleotide ribosomal RNA is filed under the name uncultured bacterium. RNAcentral describes it as "bacterial SSU rRNA". It matches the Rfam family "Bacterial small subunit ribosomal RNA", at positions 339 to 794 of the family's 1533-position model. The record is from RNAcentral.
UUACGGGAGGCAGCAGUAAGGAAUAUUGCGCAAUGGGCGAAAGCCUGACGCAGCGACGCCGCGUGGGGGAUGAAGGUCUUCGGAUUGUAAACCCCUUUCGGGAGGGAAGAUGGAACGAGCAAUCGUUUGGACGGUACCUCCAGAAGCAGCCACGGCUAACUUCGUGCCAGCAGCCGCGGUAAUACGAAGGUGGCAAGCGUUGUUCGGAUUCACUGGGCGUACAGGGAGCGUAGGCGGUUGGGUAAGCCCUCCGUGAAAUCUCCGGGCCUAACCCGGAAAGUGCAGAGGGGACUGCUCGGCUUGAGGACGGGAGAGGAGCGCGGAAUUCCCGGUGUAGCGGUGAAAUGCGUAGAGAUCGGGAGGAAGGCCGGUGGCGAAGGCGGCGCUCUGGAACGUUUCUGACGCUGAGGCUCGAAAGCGUGGGGAGCAAACAGGAUUAGAUACCCUGGUAGU